CCAGACUCCUACGGGAGGCAGCAGUGAGGAAUAUUGGUCAAUGGCCGGAAGGCUGAACCAGCCAAGUCGCGUGAGGGAAUAAGGCCCUAUGGGUCGUAAACCUCUUUUGUCAGGGAGCAAAGGCGUCCACGUGUGGACGAGAGGAGAGUACCUGAAGAAAAAGCAUCGGCUAACUCCGUGCCAGCAGCCGCGGUAAUACGGAGGAUGCGAGCGUUAUCCGGAUUUAUUGGGUUUAAAGGGUGCGUAGGCGGAUUUGUAAGUCAGCGGUAAAAAUGCGGUGCUCAACGCCGUAUCGCCGUUGAAACUGCAGGUCUUGAGUGAGCGAGAAGUAUGCGGAAUGCGUGGUGUAGCGGUGAAAUGCAUAGAUAUCACGCAGAACUCCGAUUGCGAAGGCAGCAUACCGGCGCUCAACUGACGCUGAGGCACGAAAGCGUGGGGAUCGAACAGGAUUAGAUACCCGUGUA
RNAcentral lists this ribosomal RNA (464 nucleotides) under uncultured bacterium. Its description in RNAcentral is "bacterial SSU rRNA". It matches the Rfam family "Bacterial small subunit ribosomal RNA", at positions 331 to 792 of the family's 1533-position model. The record is from RNAcentral.